GCGCCUGUAGCUCAGUGGAUAGAGCACUGGUCUCCGGAACCAGGGGUCGCGCGUUCGACUCGCGCCAGGCGUACCA
This 76-nucleotide transfer RNA is filed under the name Acidobacteriota bacterium. RNAcentral's name for it is "Acidobacteria bacterium (wastewater metagenome) tRNA-Arg". It matches the Rfam family "tRNA". Rfam says of the family: Transfer RNA (tRNA) molecules are approximately 80 nucleotides in length. Lineage: Bacteria; Pseudomonadati; Acidobacteriota. The record is from RNAcentral.